RNAcentral lists this ribosomal RNA (468 nucleotides) under uncultured bacterium. Its description in RNAcentral is "partial 16S ribosomal RNA". It matches the Rfam family "Bacterial small subunit ribosomal RNA", at positions 28 to 507 of the family's 1533-position model. The record is from RNAcentral.
GACGAACGCUGGCGGCGUGCUUAACACAUGCCAGUCGAACGGAAAGGCCCUGCUUUUGGGGGGUGCUCGAGUUGCGAACGGGUGAGUAACACGUGAGUAACCUGCCCUUGACUUUGGGAUAACUUCAGGAAACUGGGGCUAAUACCGGAUAGGAGCUCCUGCUGCAUGGUGGGGGUUGGAAAGUUUCGGCGGUUGGGGAUGGACUCGCGGCUUAUCAGCUUGUUGGUGGGGUAGUGGCUUACCAAGGCUUUGACGGGUAGCCGGGCUGAGAGGGUGACCGGCCACAUUGGGACUGAGAUACGGCCCAGACUCCUACGGGAGGCAGCAGUGGGGAAUAUUGCACAAUGGGCGGAAGCCUGAUGCAGCACCGCCGCGUGCGGGAUGACGGCCUUCGGGUUGUAAACCGCUUUCGCCUGUGACGAAGCGUGAGUGACGGUAAUGGGUAAAGAAGCACCGGCUAACUCCGUG